ACAUUUCAUUAUUUUUCAACUCUAAAUCUUCCCGCCCACACACUCUCUUUCUCAUCCUCACAAAUCUCACCAUUUUUUUCAAAAAUUUUCAGUAGAUUUUUGUUUGAUUUCAAUUCAUUUCUUCAGUAAAUCUCUUUGAUUAGCAGAGAAAAGAACUGUAUUUGUUUCAAUUUCAGAUUCAGAAAAAGAGGAAAAACCCUAGCUAAAUUUUGUGUGAGCAAGUGAAAAAAUAUGAAUCAAUAUCAUAUAUAUGAAGCUAUUGGCCGUGGAAAACACUCGACUGUAUAUAAAGGGAGGAAAAAGAAGACAAUAGAGUAUUUUGCGAUUAAAAGUGUGGAUAAAUCUCAGAAAAACAAGGUUCUUCACGAAGUCAGAAUUCUUCAUUCUCUAGAUCAUGCAAAUGUGUUGAAGUUCUACUCCUGGUAUGAAACAUCUGCACACCUGUGGUUGGUUUUAGAAUAUUGUGUUGGAGGAAAUCUCAUGAGCUUGCUUCAGCAGGAUGGUAAGCUUCCUGAAGAUUCAAUUCAUGAUCUUGCUUGUGGCCUUGUUAGAGCUCUUCUAUACUUACAUUCAAAGGGAAUAAUUUAUUGCGACUUAAAGCCAUCAAACAUCCUAUUGGAUGAAAAUGGAAUCACAAAGCUGUGUGAUUUUGGAUUAGCAAGAAAAUUGAGUGAUAUAUCAAAGACACCUUCCUCCCAGUUACCACAAAUAAAGCGAGGAACCCCAUAUUACAUGGCUCCAGAGCUUUUCCAAGAUGGAGGGGUCCAUUCCUAUGCCUCUGAUUUCUGGGCUCUUGGUUGUGUCUUGUUUGAAUGCUAUGCUGGGAUACCUCCUUUUGUUGGCAAAGAAUUUACCCAGCUAGUGAGAUCAGUCAUUUCUGAUCCAACUCCAGCACUUCCUGGCACGCCAAGCCGCCCCUUGGUCAAUCUGAUUAAUUCUCUUCUUAUAAAAGAUCCUUCUGAAAGAAUGCAGUGGCCCGAGCUUGCAGGACAUGCUUUCUGGAAAACAAGAUUUGCUCCAGUGCCAUUACCUCCUCAGCCUGCUUUUGAUAAUAUGAUAGAAAUGUCUUCUAAGCAAUGCCUUUCAGAAAGGAACAGUGAAAAGCCAAUACAAAACAAGACCCCACAAAAGACUCGUGAAAAAGAUUCUAAGGUGUCCCUCAAGCAUGAUGAAAAUUCAAAUACUGGAUCCAGAGGUUACGUGACACCAAUUAAAGGCAUAUCCAGUGGCCGGAAAGCUCAAGCGAAGGGUUCUGGCAAGACAACUGAUGACAAGCAGAAAGACACCUCGAACAAUACUAGAGGUGUCAAUCUAUUACGUCUUUCAAGAAUUGCAAAAUCAAAUUUAAUGAGGGAGAAUGAGAAGGAGAACUACCGUAGGCCACUGCCUAAUAACUCUGAGAAUGAUGCUGAACUUAAGGUUGAAAAUACUGACAUGGAACUUGACUUUAAUGAGAAUAAUGAGGAUGAUACACAAGAUGAACCUGAUGAAACUGAUAGCACUCAGAGUCCCGAGUCAACUACUUCAACUCCAAAUCUGACGGAGGGUAAUAUGGAAGAGAUGGAUAUUGAUAGCAGACAUCCAGAUACACCAGCUGUGGUUAAUACACCUUGCUCAGAUUAUUCAAGGACAUCUGACCAUGAACAGUCUUCUAAAUAUGAAGUGGCUGCUAUGCUACCUAAUGAUAGCCCUCAGCUAAAGACUCCUGUGAUUAAAGAGAACUCUGCGAAUAUCUCUGAUAUCUCAAAACCAUCUACGAACCUUUCAGAUAUUCUUUGGCAUCCAUCUGAUCUCUCAGUCAGACCUGUAAUGCCUAGCAGAAAAUCAGAUAAAGGUUCAGAUGCAAUUCCUUCACUUCCAUUCGAUGCACCUCAACUGUCUGAUUUUGUCAAAAUGUCGAAGGAGCAAUUAGACUCUUUUAAUAGUAGAAUCAUCAGUAUUGUUAGUGGGAAUACUCCCUCAGGGGAGAAGCAAAAUGUGAUCAGAUACCUUGAGCUUUUGAGCAGCAAUGCUGAUGCAGCCAACAUCUUGACCAAUGGGUCUAUUAUGCUGGUUCUAGUCAAAAUGCUUCGUCACUCCAAGGUUACUCUGUUGCGUGCUCAACUUGCUUCACUUAUCGGUUUGUUGAUUCGUCACUCAACUUUUAUUGGGGAUGAGCUGGCAAAUUCUGGAAUAUUAGGUGCACUAACUGAUGGUCUGAGAGACAGGCAAGAAAAAGUGAGAAGGUUUUCCAUGGCUGCUUUGGGUGAAUUACUAUUUUAUAUAUCUACUCAAAAUGAGCAUGCUCGGGAUAACAAACCAAUGGAAUCUCCAUCUAAGGACAGCCGACCCUCAUCCUGUUGGCAGGUGACAAGUCCAAUAAUUUCAUUGGUUUCAUCACUUUUACGGAACGGAGAAGAUGAUAUUACUCAACUUUAUGCUCUGAGGACAAUUGAAAAUAUCUCCAGUCAAGGAGGGUACUGGUCUGCUCGUUUCACCAGCCAAGAUGUCAUUACUAACCUCUGCUACAUAUUUAGGGCUCCUGGAAAGCAGGAGAGCAUGAGGCUGACAGCAGGGUCUUGCUUGGCUCGUCUUGUUCGUUUUAGCCCUUCUAGUAUUCAACGAGUCAUGGAAAAACUUUCAUUCAAGGAUAUGGUUUCAAGCCUGGUCAAGCGUAAUCCACGAGAGCAACAAAUCUGCUUAAACAUUCUGAACAUGACUCUCCUAGAAAGUCAUACACUUCCAAGUAUUGGAAGGUACCUUCUUGCCUUGGUCGAAGACAAGAAUCUUGUUCUGAAUCUUGUGACUCUAAUUGAGCAGGGAAGUGAAGUUUUGAAGGGAAAGGCACUCAUAUUUGUGGCUCUACUUUGUAUGAAUGGAAAGAGGUGGCUGCCACUAUUCUUUUGCAAUGCUAAACUGCUCUCAACCGUUGAUAGGUUGGUUAAGGAGAAGGAUGACUUUGUGAAGCAGUGUUUAGAUGCACUUGGGAUGGUUAUCGCAUCAACUGUACCAAGUUUGCUUGAAUGUAUAUCUGGGGACAUUCAGCAACUGAAGGGUGGUAAACGCCGUGGGCAGAUAAUUAGUGUCACAAGUCGAAAUUCUUCUAAGAACAGUAUGCAUUUAUUUCCUGUUGUUCUCCAUCUUCUUGGGUGCGCUUCACUGAAAAGAAGGGUUGCUAAUCAUCAGGUUCUGCAACAGUUGGCAAAUCUACUUAAACUGGUGGAGUCUCCUUUCCAGGGUAGAGAUGAUUUUCAGAUAACACUUUUACGUGUUCUUGAGUCUAUAGCAGAGGAGAUGUCUCUGGUUCAAGAUAGUUCUAGCAUUUUUAUUAGCCAGAUUCUACCUAGUUUAUCUGUUGUUUACAAAGGGAAUAAAGAUGGAGAUGCCAGAUUCUUGUGCCUGAAGAUUUUGUUUGAUGUGAUGGUCAUUUUACUGGAUGAAACAUCUGAAAAUGAACAGAAGCCGGAGAAUUUGAAGUCCAUAUCUAAUUCUUACUUCCUCCCUCUCUACCCCUCUUUGAUUGAGGAUGAGGACCCAAUACCUGUGUAUGCUCAGAAACUUCUUGUGAUGCUCAUCGAGUAUAACCAUAUAAAUAUUGCAGACAUUGUCCACAUGAAGAUAAUCUCCCAGUGCUUUGAAUUUCUCCUUGGUGAUUUCUCAACUGCAAAUGUCAACAAUGUACUGCUCUGCUUGGCUCUUACAUCUGCUCCAGAGCUGGAAACCAAAUCUCUCUCCCAACUAAAAGUUGUCAGAAAGAUCGGAAGCCUUUUGGAAUUUGUAUAUGCUAAGGAGAUGGAAGAUUUCAUUGAACCUACACUUCGUUUGUGUAGGGCUUUCCUUUUACGCUCAGUAGGCACUGUGAGAGGCUCUAUGUUUGCAAAAGAACCUGUUCGUUUAUAUGAAAAUUCCUCAGAUGGAGCUAGUGCCUUUGAUCAAAAUGAAUGCAUCAGAGAUAUUAUGGACUUUGGUGAAAAUGUUGGGGUCUUAUUAGAACUCACCCAUCUGAAUGAGAUUAAUGUUGCAGAUUUAGCUUCUGAAUGCUUAAUUUUAUUGCUCAAGGCAGCUCCAAGGGAAGCUACCACUGGGUUCCUGACAAAUCUUCCCAAAGUCAGUCUCAUCCUUGAGUCAUGGAGACAAAGCAUAUCUCACUUGCUGUUGCAACGAAUUCUGAUCGCACUUGGUUAUUCUUGUAGACAGUACCUGUCACAUGCUAUGAUAUUGUCAAUAAGUUUGCCUGAGAUAUCGAAAAUCGAAGGGAUUGUUUCUCAGGUCAAAAGCUCCACAAUACCAUCUCUCGUUGAUGCUGUUUCUCGUGCAGCAUUGGAGCUUCAGAGACUGCCUCGUUGCAUUUGAGUUUGAAAAGCGCAGCCAACUAUGUGUUGAAUCAUGUUAUAUCUCCCUUUUGGGACAGAUACAUAAACUGCAGCUCGGAUCAAAUGGAUAUUGUGAAUGAGGAGAUAACUGUGGUUGUCAUCGACUUUUUGUAUAAACCAAUGUUCUGCACCUUUCAUUUUGAGGUAAAGACUUUUACCUUCUACAUGGCCACCCUCUCCCUCCCACAUUUUAUACACAAUUUACAUACAAUUUGGUGGUAUGUAUAAGUUAUGAUAAAGUAUGUGCAAAAUGGGUAUAAAAAUUGUAUUUUCAAACAUUUGAUCAGUU
This is a non-coding RNA of Solanum lycopersicum (tomato), 4641 nucleotides long. The record is from RefSeq and is a predicted model, not a curated record. NCBI's taxonomy places the organism in Eukaryota, Viridiplantae, Streptophyta, Magnoliopsida, Solanales, Solanaceae.